UCACGACCAUAGCAAACCAAAAGAAAUUUUGGGACGCAAAGCCUCCGGUCUUAAUCCUGGCUACAGGAAAGAUAGCGGGGUUGCCGAA
Molecule: non-coding RNA, 88 nt
Filed under: Vibrio jasicida
Lineage: Bacteria; Pseudomonadati; Pseudomonadota; Gammaproteobacteria; Vibrionales; Vibrionaceae
Description: c-di-GMP-I
Rfam family: c-di-GMP-I riboswitch aptamer
About the family: GEMM was predicted in a large-scale screen for bacterial structured RNA regulatory elements.
Source: RNAcentral